ACUGGACGCUGGCGGCAGGCUUAACACAUGCAAGUCGAGCGGGGUGAUGGUGCUUGCACUAUCACUUAGCGGCGGACGGGUGAGUAAUGCUUAGGAAUCUGCCUAUUAGUGGGGGACAACAUCUCGAAAGGGCUGCUAAUACCGCAUACGUCCUACUGGAGAAAGCAGGGGAUCACUUGUGACCUUGCGCUAAUAGAUGAGCCUAAGUCGGAUUAGCUAGUGGGUGGAGUAAAGGCGUACCAAGGAGACGAUCUGUAGCGGGUCUGAGAGGAUGAUCCGCGACACUGGGACUGAGACACGGCCCAGACUCCUACGGGAGGCAGCAGUGGGGAAUAUUGGACAAUGGGGUGAACCCUGAUCCAGCCAUGCCGCGUGGGUGAAGAAGGCCUUAUGGUUGUAAAGCACUUUAAGCGAGGAGGAGGCUCUUUUGGUUAAUACCCAAGAUGAGUGGACGUUACUCGCAGAAUACGCACCGGCUAACUCUGUGCCAGCCGCCGCUGUAA
This 503-nucleotide ribosomal RNA is filed under the name uncultured bacterium. Its description in RNAcentral is "partial 16S ribosomal RNA". It matches the Rfam family "Bacterial small subunit ribosomal RNA", at positions 30 to 523 of the family's 1533-position model. The record is from RNAcentral.